UGGGGUACAGCUCAGUGGUAGAGCGCCUGCCUCGCAUCCACAAGGUCCUGGGUUCAAUUCCCAGGACCUCCA
RNAcentral lists this transfer RNA (72 nucleotides) under Camelus bactrianus (Bactrian camel). It matches the Rfam family "tRNA". Rfam says of the family: Transfer RNA (tRNA) molecules are approximately 80 nucleotides in length. The record is from Rfam by way of RNAcentral. RNAcentral also lists the same sequence under 3 other names. Lineage: Eukaryota; Metazoa; Chordata; Mammalia; Artiodactyla; Camelidae.